Molecule: unclassified non-coding RNA, 352 nt
Filed under: soil metagenome
Description: partial contains 5.8S ribosomal RNA, internal transcribed spacer 2, and large subunit ribosomal RNA
Rfam family: 5.8S ribosomal RNA (bases 1-120)
Source: RNAcentral
GAUGAAGAACGCAGCGGAAUGCGAUAAGUAAUGUGAAUUGCAGAAUUCAGUGAAUCAUCGAAUCUUUGAACGCACAUUGCGCCCGCCAGUAUUCUGGCGGGCAUGCCUGUUCGAGCGUCAUUACAACCCUCAGGCCCCCGGGCCUGGCGUUGGGGAUCGGCGGAGCCCCCCGUGGGCACACGCCGUCCCCCAAAUGCAGUGGCGGUCCCGCCGCAGCUUCCAUCGCGUAGUAGCUAACACCUCGCGACUGGAGAGCGGCGCGGCCACGCCGUAAAACACCCAACUCUUCUGAAGUUGACCUCGAAUCAGGUAGGAAUACCCGCUGAACUUAAGCAUAUCAAUAAGCGGAGGA